AAAACGUUAGUAUGAGGGAAUUUUCCCAGAAAUUUCAUAGAUUUUACCAGAGAAAAACUUGUCUUACUACAAGUCUAGAAGAUUAAGUAGGCAAAGGACUUAUAGCAGACGUCAUGACUGUAUAUAGUAACAAGAUUGAUGGUGCUAGGUAAGGGGCUUGAAUGGACGAUACAUAUACAUUAAGUAUUUAUCACAAUACAUUUUAAGGUAGCAGUGGAACUCUAACUAUACAGGAGCAUUGCAAAGCAAUCUUUUGUCACGACGUGAGUGAAAAAUUAAGCGCACAUCUCACGCAACCUCCAAGCUGUGGAUCUCCGGAAGGGUUUCCACAAUGCCUUCUUCACCUUCACCACUGCAAAUUCCCACCCUACUCUGCCUCUUCAGUUCUUCCCUACUGCAACUGCUAAGGUUUUUACUUUAAUCAUGAUCAUUUCUAUUGUAAAUCCUGCCAAUUCUUUGUUAGCUUUCUUGAAUCAGAAAUAUCCUGCAAUUUUCUUUUUCUUUUUUUAGUUAUAAGGAGCUGAAUGUAUGGUAAGAGCUUUGUUUUCUGUAAAUCUAUGUUCGGGCAAUUCUGAGUA
This is a long non-coding RNA of Gossypium raimondii (Peruvian cotton), 578 nucleotides long. RefSeq lists it as uncharacterized. The transcript has 2 exons. The record is from RefSeq and is a predicted model, not a curated record. Lineage: Eukaryota; Viridiplantae; Streptophyta; Magnoliopsida; Malvales; Malvaceae.